RNAcentral lists this ribosomal RNA (306 nucleotides) under uncultured bacterium. RNAcentral's name for it is "partial 16S ribosomal RNA". It matches the Rfam family "Bacterial small subunit ribosomal RNA", at positions 505 to 808 of the family's 1533-position model. The record is from RNAcentral.
GACACAGUCGCCGCGGGAAUACGUAGGGUGCGAGCGUUAAUCGGAAUUACUGGGCGUAAAGCGUGCGCAGGCGGUUUUGUAAGACAGGCGUGAAAUCCCCGGGCUCAACCUGGGAAUGGCGCUUGUGACUGCAAAGCUAGAGUGCGGCAGAGGGGGAUGGAAUUCCGCGUGUAGCAGUGAAAUGCGUAGAUAUGCGGAGGAACACCGAUGGCGAAGGCAAUCCCCUGGGCCUGCACUGACGCUCAUGCACGAAAGCGUGGGGAGCAAACAGGAUUAGAUACCCCCGUAGUCCCUGUCUCUUAUACC